GUAUUUAUUUUUGUCUAUAUUUUUUAGGAAGUAUAGGCAAAAGAUAUGGGGUUUCCCUCGCAAGGGGGUACUCUGAAAUAGAUUGCCUCUGUUUUGAUAGACUCGACGAAGUUUUUCAAUCCUGCAGAAAAGUAUUUGAAUGGAACUGUGGUUUCUCGAUAUGCUGAAUAUGUGGGGGAAAGAUGGAGAAUCUAUUGGGCAGAUGUCCAUACCCUAUAAGGCGGUCUUAGGAUCGGCUUGAA
Molecule: unclassified non-coding RNA, 242 nt
Filed under: uncultured Chytridiomycota
Lineage: Eukaryota; Fungi; Chytridiomycota
Description: sequence contains ITS2
Source: RNAcentral